GAGCUGUAGCUCAGGGGUUGAGCAGCUGCUUUGCAUGCAGAAGGUCCCAAGUUCAAUCCCCAGUGGCACCU
Molecule: transfer RNA, 71 nt
Filed under: Podarcis lilfordi (Lilford's wall lizard)
Lineage: Eukaryota; Metazoa; Chordata; Lepidosauria; Squamata; Lacertidae
Description: tRNA.Ala
Source: RNAcentral